UACGGGGGGAGCAAGCGUUGUUCGGAUUUACUGGGCGUAAAGGGCGCGUAGGCGGCCACCGCAAGUCGACUGUGAAAUCUCUGGGCUUAACCCAGAACGGUCAGCCGAUACUGCGGGGCUAGAGUGCAGAAGGGGCAACUGGAAUUCUCGGUGUAGCGGUGAAAUGCGUAGAUAUCGAGAGGAACACCUGCGGCGAAGGCGGGUUGCUGGGCUGACACUGACGCUGAGGCGCGAAAGCUAGGGGAGCAAACGGG
Molecule: ribosomal RNA, 254 nt
Filed under: uncultured bacterium
Lineage: Bacteria
Description: partial 16S ribosomal RNA
Rfam family: Bacterial small subunit ribosomal RNA
Source: RNAcentral